AGAGCGGUAUUUGCCUGCUUGUAGCAGUUCUUGUCUGAUCCGUGCAUUCGUAUCUUUCUUCAGUUGUACCAGAUGGUGUGGCGGCCCUUGUAAGGGCUACUGAUACUCCAGAUUCUAAAUUCUGGAUUUUAGAUAGCGAUGCACUGCGAAAUUAUGACCAACCUUUCCUGCUAUGGAAACGAAAGGCGUAUGCGAGUCUAGAAUCCAAAAUCCGGGAGCUGCGCAGCAACUUCACUUCCUUCAUCGUCCUAGGCACUGCAGGGAUAGGGAAAUCGUUCUUUGGCUAUCACUGGAUUAUUAGGCUGGGCCAAAUGGGGCAAGAAAAGGCGUUAUACAAGGUUGGCAAGGUUGUUUACAUCCUGAAUUUGCGAAGCCGAUAUGUUGAAGGUGGUUAUGACAUGAAUGGCCAAAUUAUACGCCAAAUGCUGGACUAUCAGUCAAUGUGGCUAGUGAUAGAUGGGAAGCAGGAGACGCCUUUACCUGGCAAGUGUCGAGUUCUUUUGGUUUGCUCAUCUAAGAAGAAAAACUACCAGGAGUUUGGCAAGGGGGGACUUUGUUGCAUGCUUUAUAUGUCGGUGUGGUCCAGGGAGGAGAUUGGGGAAUUCCUUGACGACUUUGAGCCUUACCGAACUAGUUAUGGGAACAUGAAUGUGGUGGACAGAAAGGAAGGGCUUGACAACUUCGAUUAUUUGGGUGGAGUUCCUAGGUAUGUACUGCGUGCAACAAAGCUGAAAGAGGGGAAGUCCUUGGCCAAGAGUGCGGUUGAGUCGUUCGGAUCAAGUGUAUCCAAAGCGGCUAAAAUUUUGUCAGGAGGGUACGUGAAAAAAGUCAGCGACUGCAUUCUGCACAUCGUGGCAACUGAGGACCACAGCGAAAAGACAUCAGUUUGCAAGCGAGGCUUUGAUGACAGAGCUUGGGAAUCAAUAUCUGCGUGCUGGAGCUGUGCCUGUGGUGGGAUUUCUGAAAGAAACAUUCACCUGCCCUUGGGUGGGGGCUCUGUGGGGGAAGCUUUAUGAGCCUCUUGUGCAUAGGCUACUGUUGAAGGGUGGUGAUUUUGUUAUCAAGGCAGUUUAUGCUAAUGGACGCUCCGGUCCUGAGACUUCCGUUCAUAUUGGACCUCAUAUCAUGCUGGAGGCAAGUUCUGCGGGUGAGUUUGGAGGAAAGAUGGGGAUGGGCAAGUACGUGCAACCAACUUCUGAAGUCUUUCCGAGCAUUGAUUCUGGUAUGGAUGAAGACAUUCUCAUUCAGGUCUUCAAGAGAGUGGAUGGAAAACACGGCUUUGAAGCGAGUGGCUUAGAAAUGGUGGAUGCUGCGUUGAAGAGACCAAGCUACAGGUUGUGGUCGUGUGUUCCAAAAGAGACGUUUCCGCGAACUGGAUGGCAGCAAUACCAGAAUAAUAAUGAUGGAGACUAUGGGAGAGGAAAUGCAGUAUUUGGGAAGAAGCAGCAGUUUGUUGUUCAAGUGGACUACGAGGAUGCACGAUGAAGCUUCUGUUUUUUUAUAUAUAUACUUACAAUAUAAAUUUCUCGGUAAAUCAAAGUUUUUAAUAAAAUACUAGAAAUUGCCCAGCAAAAAGCAG
This 1579-nucleotide long non-coding RNA is filed under the name Selaginella moellendorffii. RNAcentral's name for it is "long non-coding RNA (SMOE_LNC002103)". The record is from RNAcentral. Lineage: Eukaryota; Viridiplantae; Streptophyta; Lycopodiopsida; Selaginellales; Selaginellaceae.